Molecule: transfer RNA, 69 nt
Filed under: Holothuria spinifera
Lineage: Eukaryota; Metazoa; Echinodermata; Holothuroidea; Aspidochirotida; Holothuriidae
Description: tRNA-Glu
Source: RNAcentral
GCCCCUUUAGUCUAGUAAAGAUGAGGGCUUUUCAAGCCCUAGAACCAAGUGGAACUCUUGGGAGGAGUA